Molecule: ribosomal RNA, 455 nt
Filed under: uncultured bacterium
Lineage: Bacteria
Description: bacterial SSU rRNA
Rfam family: Bacterial small subunit ribosomal RNA
Source: RNAcentral
ACAGCGGCGAACGGGUGCGUAACACGUGAGAAACCUGCCCCCCAGACCGGGAUAGCCCAGGGAAACUUGGAUUAAUACCGGAUACUCUCCUCGGACCGCAUGGUCCGUUGAGGAAACAGUCCGCUGCUGGGGGAUGGUCUCGCGGCCUAUCAGGUAGUUGGUGAGGUAACGGCUCACCAAGCCGAAGACGGGUAGCUGGUCUGAGAGGACGAUCAGCCACACUGGAACUGAGACACGGUCCAGACUCCUACGGGAGGCAGCAGCAGGGAAUAUUGCACAAUGGGCGAAAGCCUGAUGCAGCGACACCGCGUGCGGGAUGAAGGCCUUCGGGUUGUAAACCGCUUUCAGGAGGGAAGAAACUGACGGUACCUCCAGAAGAAGCUCCGGCCAACUACGUGCCAGCAGCCGCGGUAAUACGUAGGGAGCAAACGUUGUCCGGAUUUACUGGGCGUAAA